RNAcentral lists this ribosomal RNA (305 nucleotides) under uncultured bacterium. RNAcentral's name for it is "bacterial SSU rRNA". It matches the Rfam family "Bacterial small subunit ribosomal RNA", at positions 337 to 635 of the family's 1533-position model. The record is from RNAcentral.
GCCUACGGGGGGCAGCAGUAGGGAAUCUUCCACAAUGGGCGAAAGCCUGAUGGAGCAACGCCGCGUGGGUGAAGAAGGUCUUCGGAUCGUAAAACCCUGUUGUUAGAGAAGAAAGUGCGUGAGAGUAACUGUUCACGUUUCGACGGUAUCUAACCAGAAAGCCACGGCUAACUACGUGCCAGCAGCCGCGGUAAUACGUGGUGGCAAGCGUUAUCCGGAUUUAUUGGGCGUAAAGGGAACGCAGGCGGUCUUUUAAGUCUGAUGUGAAAGCCUUCGGCUUAACCGGAGUAGUGCAUUGGAAACUG